CCUACGGGGGGCAGCAGUGAGGAAUAUUGGUCAAUGGGCGCGAGCCUGAACCAGCCAAGUAGCGUGAAGGAUGACUGCCCUACGGGUUGUAAACUUCUUUUAUAAAGGAAUAAAGUGAGGCACGUGUGCCUUUUUGUAUGUACUUUAUGAAUAAGGAUCGGCUAACUACGUUCCAGCAGCCGCGGUAAUACGGAGGAUCCGAGCGUUAUCCGGAUUUAUUGGGUUUAAAGGGAGCGUAGAUGGGUUGUUAAGUUAGUUGUGAAAGUUUGCGGCUCAACCGUACAAUUGCAAUUGAUACUGGCAGCCUUGAGUACAGAUGAGGUAGGCGGAAUUCGUGGUGUAGCGGUGAAAUGCGUAGAUAUCACGAAGAACUCCGAUUGCGAAGGCAGCUUACUAAACUGCCACUGACAUUGAUGCUCGAAAGUGUGGGUAUCAAACAGGAUUAGAUACCCCAGUAGUC
RNAcentral lists this ribosomal RNA (460 nucleotides) under uncultured bacterium. Its description in RNAcentral is "partial 16S ribosomal RNA". It matches the Rfam family "Bacterial small subunit ribosomal RNA", at positions 338 to 795 of the family's 1533-position model. The record is from RNAcentral.